RNAcentral lists this ribosomal RNA (483 nucleotides) under uncultured bacterium. RNAcentral's name for it is "partial 16S ribosomal RNA". It matches the Rfam family "Bacterial small subunit ribosomal RNA", at positions 30 to 506 of the family's 1533-position model. The record is from RNAcentral.
AUUGAACGCUGGCGGCAGGCCUAACACAUGCAAGUCGAGCGGAUGAAGGGAGCUUGCUCCUGGAUUCAGCGGCGGACGGGUGAGUAAUGCCUAAGAAUCUGCCUGGUAGUGGGGGAUAACGUCCGGAAACGGGCGCUAAUACCGCAUACGUCCUGAGGGAGAAAGUGGGGGAUCUUCGGACCUCACGCUAUCAGAUGAGCCUAGGUCGGAUUAGCUAGUUGGUGGGGUAAAGGCCUACCAAGGCGACGAUCCGUAACUGGUCUGAGAGGAUGAUCAGUCACACUGGAACUGAGACACGGUCCAGACUCCUACGGGAGGCAGCAGUGGGGAAUAUUGGACAAUGGGCGAAAGCCUGAUCCAGCCAUGCCGCGUGUGUGAAGAAGGUCUUCGGAUUGUAAAGCACUUUAAGUUGGGAGGAAGGGCAGUAAGUUAAUACCUUGCUGUUUUGACGUUACCAACAGAAUAAGCACCGGCUAACUUCGU